This 351-nucleotide RNase P RNA is filed under the name chicken gut metagenome. Its description in RNAcentral is "Bacterial RNase P class A". It matches the Rfam family "Bacterial RNase P class A". From Rfam's summary of the family: Ribonuclease P (RNase P) is a ubiquitous endoribonuclease, found in archaea, bacteria and eukarya as well as chloroplasts and mitochondria. The record is from RNAcentral.
GCGGGCAUUCGCCGGCGGCUCGUCCGCUGGAGGAAAGUCCGGACACCACAGAGCGGGAUUCCGUUUGAAAAAACGGGGCGCGCGCCGAAAGGUUCGCGCAUGGAAAGUGCAGCAGAAAACAAACCGCCGCGAAAGCGGUAAGGGUGAAAAGGCGGGGUAAGAGCCCACCGCCGCGCGGAGCAAUCCGGGCGGGCAGUGAAAACCCAAUCCGGUGCAAGACAACAUAGGACGCGGAGUUGCUCGCUCUAACGCGUUGGGUAUGUCGCAUCCCCGCGAGGGGAGGCUUCGCAAGGGGCCAGAUAAAUGAAUGCCGGUUUCUUCGGAAACUACAAAAUCCGGCUUACAGCCGAA